GAUGGGGAUGUUUUCUAGAAUGCCCACAGAGUAUUUGACAGAUCGAUCAACCAGUUACAGUGAUAUUGUUGUAGGUUUAAGCUCUCCUACCUCCAGCUUUUAACAUACUGAUAAGGGCAUUAGACUUACACUUGCUCCAAGAUCAUAGAGGGCCUUGUCUAUCCUCAUGUCACUUAUAAGACAAGGUAUGGAGAAGCUUCCUGAAUCUUUCAGCUUUGGCGACA
Molecule: unclassified non-coding RNA, 224 nt
Filed under: Hevea brasiliensis (rubber tree)
Lineage: Eukaryota; Viridiplantae; Streptophyta; Magnoliopsida; Malpighiales; Euphorbiaceae
Source: RNAcentral